CCUACGGGUGGCAGCAGUAGGGAAUAUUGCUCAAUGGGGGAAACCCUGAACCAGCAACGCCGCGUGGAGGAUGAAGGUUUUAGGAUUGUUAACUCCUUUUGUGAGAGAAGAUAAUGACGGUAUCUCACGAAUAAGCACUGGCUAACUCCGUGCCAGCAGCCGCGGUACUACGGCGGGUGCAAGCGUUAUUCGGAAUCACUGGGCGUAAAGCGGGCGCAGGCGGGUUUUUAAGUCAGAUGUGAAAUCCUGUAGCUUAACUACAGAACUGCAGUUGAAACUAGGAGUCUAGAGUGUGGGAGAGGUAGGUGGAAUUCGUGGUGUAGGGGUGAAAUGCUUAGAUAUCAAGAGGAAUACUCAUUGCGAAGGCAGCCUACUGGAACAUUACUGACGCUCAUGCACGAAAGCGUGGGGAUCAAACAGGAUUAGAUACCCGAGUAGUC
RNAcentral lists this ribosomal RNA (440 nucleotides) under uncultured bacterium. RNAcentral describes it as "partial 16S ribosomal RNA". It matches the Rfam family "Bacterial small subunit ribosomal RNA", at positions 338 to 795 of the family's 1533-position model. The record is from RNAcentral.